Myotis brandtii (Brandt's bat) is the source of this 76-nucleotide non-coding RNA. Lineage: Eukaryota; Metazoa; Chordata; Mammalia; Chiroptera; Vespertilionidae. The record is from Rfam.
GGUGGUUCUCGGGUGACUCACCCCGGAAUUGGGCUCCCUCCUCUCUGGUUCUGGGGUGCUUCACCCAAGAACUGCC